GCAUCGGUGGGGCAUAGGCGGCCCGCGGCCUCUUCAUAGUGCUGCCCUCACCACUUGAUUGAUGGCCGAGAUCGGGGUUCGACUCCCCGUCGAUGCA
This is a non-coding RNA of Mycena capillaripes, 97 nucleotides long. NCBI's taxonomy places the organism in Eukaryota, Fungi, Basidiomycota, Agaricomycetes, Agaricales, Mycenaceae. The record is from the annotation of a GenBank genome assembly.